CAGCUUCUGAUUGGCUGGAGGGACGUGCGCUGCAUUCAGCCGGUUAGGAAAGUCGAAGUGUAAGCUCUGAGAGUUAAACGGGCAUCUGGUCGUCGGCAGUGCUAUCCUGAAGGUGUCUUUUCAAGUUACACCAUAAAGUUACACCAUAUAUACGAGGUCGUGGAUCAGUUUCCGGUGCAGCAAGGACAAGUCGGAAAUACUUUUAUAUUUCCACUCUGAGGAUAUUACGAGAACCACUUUUAAGACAAAUUAGUCUCAAAAUCUGUUAUCAGGAGACACGGAAGUGGGAGAGCGUAAGAGUUCCUUAUGGUUAUUAGAGAUUUAAGUACUUUUGAUGCUGGAAAGUACCUCAGAUACUGGAAAGGACUUCGAAAUGAUUGAACAAGAGAUUCAGAAAAAUACUUCGAAAUGCUAAAAGAUCCUCGAAGAAAUGCAUGAAAUACUAAAAUGCCGGAUGCUGGAAAGUACUUCAAGAGAUGAUGGAAAGUACUUCGAAAUGCUACUUCAACUCCCUCCUUUCACUGUCUUAGAGGAGGAUCUGUCUCGAUGUCGUUGACGAAACCUUGGGAAAAGCCGCCUCCUGAUUGGCUGGGAGGAAGUUUAUUAUUCAACAGGCUAGAAUAAGUAGAUUAAGCUUGGAGUAGAUCCUUCAUUUGUUGGUUGGCAGCAGGAUCCAUAGAGAGAGGGGUCAACUAACGCGCAGAUAUGGUUGGGUCAGGGCUGGGCGACCGAGAUCACGUGAUUCCCCGCUGCUCAGUCUAGUAUAUCUUCGGGGGCGCAUUUGAACGAAAAUAUCGAAAUAAAAUGU
This is a long non-coding RNA of Macrobrachium nipponense, 808 nucleotides long. RefSeq lists it as uncharacterized. The transcript has 3 exons. Lineage: Eukaryota; Metazoa; Arthropoda; Malacostraca; Decapoda; Palaemonidae. The record is from RefSeq and is a predicted model, not a curated record.